RNAcentral lists this ribosomal RNA (506 nucleotides) under uncultured bacterium. RNAcentral's name for it is "partial 16S ribosomal RNA". It matches the Rfam family "Bacterial small subunit ribosomal RNA", at positions 28 to 523 of the family's 1533-position model. The record is from RNAcentral.
GAUGAACGCUAGCUACAGGCUUAACACAUGCAAGUCGAGGGGUAACAAGAGGAAAGCUUGCUUUCCUUAUCGACGACCGGCGCACGGGUGAGUAACGCGUAUCCAACCUGCCCCCAACUAGGGAAUAACCUUGCGAAAGUAAGACUAAUACCCUAUAAUUUCCUCAGAUGUCAUCUGACGAGGAAUAAAGAUUUAUCGGUUGUGGAUGGGGAUGCGUCUGAUUAGCUUGUUGGCGGGGUAACGGCCCACCAAGGCAACGAUCAGUAGGGGUUCUGAGAGGAAGGUCCCCCACAUUGGAACUGAGACACGGUCCAAACUCCUACGGGAGGCAGCAGUGAGGAAUAUUGGUCAAUGGGCGGAAGCCUGAACCAGCCAAGUAGCGUGCAGGGUGACGGCCCUAUGGGUUGUAAACUGCUUUUAUACAGGAAUAAAGUUAGCCACGUGUGGUUAUUUGUAGGUACUGUAUGAAUAAGGACCGGCUAAUUCCGUGCCAGCCGCCGCCGUAA